GAUGAACGCUGGCGGCGUGCUUAAUACAUGCAAGUCGAACGAAGAGCCUUUGUAGCAAUACGAGGGUUUCUUAGUGGCGAACGGGUGCGUAACGCGUUGGUGACCUGCCCCGAAGUGUGGGAUAACAGUUCGAAAGGACUGCUAAUACCGCAUGUGGUCACGAGGGUUAGAGGCUUUGUGACUAAAGCAGUAAUGCGCUUCGGGAGGGACCUGCGUCCCAUCAGCUAGUUGGUGAGGUAACGGCCCACCAAGCCGACGAUCGGUAGCCGACCUGAGAGGGUGAACGGCCACAUUGGAACUGAGAGACGGUCCAAACUCCUACGGGUGGCAG
RNAcentral lists this ribosomal RNA (331 nucleotides) under uncultured Chloroflexota bacterium. RNAcentral describes it as "bacterial SSU rRNA". It matches the Rfam family "Bacterial small subunit ribosomal RNA", at positions 28 to 351 of the family's 1533-position model. Lineage: Bacteria; Bacillati; Chloroflexota. The record is from RNAcentral.